Molecule: transfer RNA, 69 nt
Filed under: Palea steindachneri (wattle-necked softshell turtle)
Lineage: Eukaryota; Metazoa; Chordata; Testudines; Trionychidae
Description: tRNA-Phe
Rfam family: tRNA
About the family: Transfer RNA (tRNA) molecules are approximately 80 nucleotides in length. Their secondary structure includes four short double-helical elements and three loops (D, anti-codon, and T loops).
Source: RNAcentral
AUUAUUGUAGCUUAACAUAAAGCAUGGCACUGAAAAUGCCAAGACGGACACUAACAAACCCCAGUAAUA